RNAcentral lists this small RNA (91 nucleotides) under Ochotona princeps (American pika). RNAcentral describes it as "7SK RNA (ENSOPRG00000023375.1)". The record is from RNAcentral. Lineage: Eukaryota; Metazoa; Chordata; Mammalia; Lagomorpha; Ochotonidae.
CUUCGGUCAAGGGUGUAGGAGUAGCUGUGCUCCCCUGGUAGAACCUCCAAACAAGCUCUCAACAUCUAAUGGGGCUGAUAGAAUGAAUAGU